RNAcentral lists this ribosomal RNA (433 nucleotides) under uncultured bacterium. Its description in RNAcentral is "partial 16S ribosomal RNA". It matches the Rfam family "Bacterial small subunit ribosomal RNA", at positions 31 to 507 of the family's 1533-position model. The record is from RNAcentral.
AAAGAAAGAGGGGGGCAUGCCUAACACAUGCAAGUCGAACGAGGCCUUCGGGUCUAGUGGCGCACGGGUGCGUAACGCGUGGGAACCUGCUCUUAGGUUCGGAAUAACUCCCCGAAAGGGGUGCUAAUACCGGAUAAUGUCUUCGGACCAAAGAUUUAUCGCCUUUGGAUGGGCCCGCGUUGGAUUAGCUAGUUGGUAGGGUAAAAGCCUACCAAGGCGACGAUCCAUAGCUGGUCUGAGAGGAUGAUCAGCCACACUGGGACUGAGACACGGCCCAGACUCCUACGGGAGGCAGCAGUGGGGAAUAUUGGACAAUGGGCGAAAGCCUGAUCCAGCAAUGCCGCGUGAGUGAUGAAGGCCUUAGGGUUGUAAAGCUCUUUUACCCGGGAUGAUAAUGACAGUACCGGGAGAAUAAGCUCCGGCUAACUCCGUG